Long non-coding RNA from Spea bombifrons (plains spadefoot toad), 189 nucleotides. RefSeq lists it as uncharacterized. NCBI's taxonomy places the organism in Eukaryota, Metazoa, Chordata, Amphibia, Anura, Pelobatidae. The transcript is spliced from 2 exons. The record is from RefSeq and is a predicted model, not a curated record.
CAAAUCGGGUGAGGGGCAUUCCAGGCUGCCUCUUCAUUGAGGCAAGCCUGCAAUGCUCCAGGGGGGCUUCACAACCUCCCGAUCCCCGUGAUUCACAGUGAAUCACGGCGAUCGGUGGGUUAAACUACAGGCCAGUGACUGAAAGGGGGCUACACAACCUCAGUGUAUAGUCAAAAAAAAAAAAAAAUA